RNAcentral lists this transfer RNA (78 nucleotides) under Candidatus Woesearchaeota archaeon. RNAcentral describes it as "tRNA-Glu". It matches the Rfam family "tRNA". From Rfam's summary of the family: Transfer RNA (tRNA) molecules are approximately 80 nucleotides in length. Lineage: Archaea; Nanobdellati; Candidatus Woesearchaeota. The record is from RNAcentral.
GCUCCGUUGGUGUAGUCCGGCCAAUCAUCCUGCCCUUUCGAGGCAGGGACUCGGGUUCAAAUCCCGGACGGAGCACCA